CUGGGUGGGUGCCCACCAUGCACAGGGAUAGGCUAUGUGACUGCCAGGUCUGCAGUGGCAUCUGACAUCCAGGCCAGCCUCCUUGGUUUGCCGUGAACUGGUUGGUGGCCCUGGCCUGUGCCUAGUAGUCCUGGUGUGACCCUGGGGUUGUGUGGGGGAGCCGGUAGGGUCCCAGUGACCCACCUGCCCUGUCCUUCCAGGGUUCUGUGGCUAAGAGCACUGGGUGUCCUGUGUCCGUGAUGGGCCAGUGUUCCUCAUGCAUCCCAUCACAGGGAUCCAUGGAGGGCGAGUAUGCUUGAACUGCCACACCCCACUUUCUGCUCACAUGGAGGAGUGAGGUUGUGUUUGGACAACUGUCCUACUCUUGUUCUCCCAGAUCGUGACCCCAGAGGAAGAAUUGUUUUGGGCCCAAUGGCCCUGGGCCAGUGUCCAUCAGCCCGGUGUCCAGUCCCUGGUGUACUGAAGCUCAGGCCCUUCCUGGUACCCUAGUCUCCUGCACUGAGCUUGGCGAGCCCAUUCGGGUACUGCUGGAUGCAGCGUGAGCUCUUCUGCUCAGAUGGUUCCCCUGGCAUUGACCAGCAUAGAUAGUGAACCUAGAGGAAGACUCUUCCUGGGUCCCCUGGCCCCAAGCCAGUGUCCAUCAGCCAGAUGCCAGACCCCAGUGUGCUGAAACUCAUGCCCUUCCUGGUGCCCUGGUCUCCUGCACUGAGCUAUGUGAACUCUUUCACCCAGCAGACUCCCUGGCAUUGACCAGCAUAGAUGGUGGCCCUGGAGGAGGACUUGUAUUGGGACCACUGGCCCCACGUCAGUGUCUUUCAGCCAGGUGUACAGCCCUUGGUGUGUUGAAGCUCAGGCCCUUCCUGCUGCUCCGGUCUCCUGCACUGAGCUUGUGAGCUCUUCUGCCCAGGUGGUCCCCCUGGCCUUGAGGGGCAUAGAUGGUGAGCCCAGAGGAAGACCCCCUGGCUCUGAGCCAGCCUCCGUCAGCCAGAUCCCCAGCUCCUGGUGUGCUAAAGCUCAGGACCUUCCUGGUGCCCUGGUCUCCUGCACUGAGCUGUGUGAGCUCUUCUGCCCAGGCGGGCCCCCUGGCAUUGACUGGCAUAGAUAGUGAGCUCAGAGGAAGACUUGCAUUGGGCCCAAUGGACCCAGGCCAGUGUCUGUCAGCCAGGUGCCCAGCUCCUGAUGUGCUGAAGCUCAGGCCCUUCCUGGAGCCCUAGUCUCCUGCCCUGAGCUGUGUGACAUCUUCUGCCCAGGUGGCCCCCUGGCGUUGACCAGCAUAGGCGAGUGGAACCUGCUGGUGUCAUAGGCCAUGAGCCAGGCUGCAUGGGGACGCCAGAUGGUAAGCCCGGAGGAAGACUUGCAUUCGGCCUGCUGUGCCUGGGCCAGAGGCUAUCAGCUAGGUGCCCAGGUCCUGUUGCACUGAAGCUUGGGCCCUUCCUGGUGCCCUGGUCUCCUUCAUGGAGCUGUGAACUCUUCAGCUCAGAAGGGGCCCUUGGCCUUGACUAGCAUAGAUGGUGAGCCUGAAGGAAGACGUACGUCAGGACCAAUGGACCCUGACAAGCGUCCAUCAGCCAGGUGCUCAGCCCCCGGUUCGCUGAAGCUCAGGCCCUUCCUGGUGCCCUGGUCUCCUGCACUGACCUGUGUGAAUUCUUCUGCCAAGGGGUGGCCUCCUGGCAUUGAUCAACAUAGAUGGUGAGCCUGGAGGAAGACUUGCAUUGGCCCCAAUGGCCCUGGACCAGUGUCUGUCAACUAGUUCCCAGUUCCAGGUGCACUGAAGCUCAGGCCUCUCCUGGUGCCCUGGUCUCCUGCACUGAGCUGUGUAAGCUCCUCUGUCCAAGUGGUCCCCCCCAGCCUUGAGCAGCAUAGAUGGUGACCCUGGAGAAAGACUUGCGUUGGGCCUGAAGGCCCCGGGGCCAGUGUCCAUCAGCCACGUGCUCAGCUCCCAGUGCACCGAAACUCCGACCCUUCCUGGUUCCCUGGUCUCUUGCGCUGGGCUGUGGUGAGCACAACCGGGUCCCGCUGGAUGCAUGUGUGGGGAGGGGGGUGCCCUGAGUUGGGUUGGUGAUGAGAACCUUAUAUUCUUCUGAAGAGAGGUGAUGACUUAAAAAUCAUGCUCAAUAGGAUUACGCUGAGGCCCAGCCUAGGUGAGAAUUUUGGAAGAGGACACUGGGAUCCUGAAGCCCCCUGCAGGGCUCCUGUGUUUUGGGCUGGGGACCUGGAGGCCCUGAAGGGCAUCUGGUGGACCCAACUGUAUCUCUGUGCUCCUCUAUGAGGCAGCCCAGCCUCCCUGUCCUGGCUUGGUAUCCAGGCUCCGGGUCUCCAGGGACGGGACACGUUGGAGCCUCCUUCCUGAGCCCUCAUUCUCCCUUUGUGUCUUUCAGUGAGCUUUUCCACCCAGGUGGGCCCCCUGGCAUUGACCGACAUAGGUGAGUGCAUCCUGCUGGGGUCAUGGGCUAUUAGAUAGUCAGUGUGGGGUCAUUGAGGUUCAGCUUUUGGGCCACAAGGGUUUUCUCAGGCAACCAACCUGAACUCCCACCUGGGAGAGAUGGGUUCUCUAGGAGGGCAGCUUUUUUAGGAAUCAGACCCAAGGAGGAUGCCUUCCCUGAAGCCCUACAGGGGUGAUGGUGGUCCAGGCAGGGAAGGGUUCCUUCUGCCCAACUCAGGGCCCAAUGCAGGGCAGCGCCCCCUUGAGAACUGGUGCUCUGGUAAGGCCUCAAGGACUGCCCAGGCCACAUGAAGGAGGUCAGAGAGGCUACAGGGAACCAUGGGGGUAACAGGGGAGCUCUUGGCCCCCAGAGUGUGUGAAUGGGCCCAUUGAGUUGGGUUGCAGAGAUUCAAGGAUCGCACCUGACCCAUGGCCCUGAAUGACCAUCCCUGUUGAGCAGUGGGUCAUCCCAGUGGGUCCCCUGGAGCCUGGUGGGGGUCGGCGUUGUUUUCCUGGGGUUGGGUCAAGGUGGAGCUCUGGCUGGUACCUGGUGGUGCUGCAGGUCAGCCCUGGGACUUGUGGGCUUUGGGCCAAGAGGCAGCCCACAUCCCGCUGGGGGUCAUGAAGGAUGGCCUCCUGAGGUGGGAAGGCCCACUGUUGAGGCACCUAGACUGGGAAUUAUUCCUCAGGCUGCUUAGGAGCCGUGGUGUCACCUCCAGGGUGGUGGGAUCUUGGGACUAAGCAAAGGAGGGGGCACCAUAUGGCUCCCAAUUGGCCAUGUGUGGCUGGCUCUGUGUCUGGGAGGUGUGUGGACUAUGGAUGGGGACCCACCAGAGAAAGCAAGUGGCCCUGCAAUCCCAGGAGGUGAUUUCUGGUGUAGGCUUGGAGAGGGUGCCUAUAUGCGCGCCCACCAUACGCAGGAGCAGGCUAUGCCACUGCAGAGUCUGCAGUGACGCCUGGCAUAUGGGCCAGCCUCCUUGGUUAGCUGUGACUUGGCUGGUGGCCCGUGCUUGUGCCCAGUGGUGAGGGCAGCUCUGAAUUAAUGCAGGAGAGCCAUUUUGGGCAGUGGAGGUGCCCUUGGGUCCUACAGUAUGGCACAGCCUGGGUGUUUUGCUCAAGCCCAGUGACCUGCCUGCCUUAUCCUUCCCGGGUUCGGUGGCAGGGAGAGCCAAGAGUGCCCUGCAUUGGUGACGAGUCAGUAUUUUGCAUGAAUCUCAUCACAUGUGUCCAUGGAGGACAAGCAAGCAUGAGCUGGCACCAGCCACCCCCUUCUCUGCAUGGAGGGUGGUUAUGUGUUUCCCUAGAUGAUGAGACUGGAGGAAGACUUCCAUUGGGCCCACUUUUCCUGGGCUAGUGUCCAUCAGCCAGGUGCUUAGCCCCAGUGCCUUGAAACUCCAGCCCUUCCUGGCACCCGGUCUCCUGCACUGAGCUGUGUGAGCUCUUCCACCCAGGAGGGCCCCUUGGCAUUGACUGGCAUAGAUGGUGAGCCUGGAGGAAGAGUUGUGUUGAGUCCCCGCAGGCCCCAGGCCAAUGUCUGUCAACCUGGUGCUCAUCCCCUGGUGUGCUGAAACUCGGACCCUCCCUGACACCCUGGUCUCCUGCACUGAGCUGUGGAUUACGCUGAGGCCCAGCCUAGUGAGCUCUUCCACCCAGCGGGCCCCUCGGCAUUGACUGGCAUAGUGUUGCGAGAGAUGCAUCAUCCCAUUAAUGAAAGCAGAGUGACUGCCUUCAUCACACCUACAUUCAAGAUAGACCACUGGGCUAGUGAUGAGUCACUCUUAAGGCUAUUAUGUUUACUCAUUUAAAAAAUCUGAAUCUCAGUAUGGAUUUUCUUAGAGAGUGACUGACCUAUCUGAUAUGAUGCUAUGACAGACUCUUUACUUUUUACCUGAAUUUGAUGGGAUUGAAAGUUGAGAACAUUUUAUUUUCUGUUUCACUUGAUUAAUUAUGCCCAAUCUAACAUGCAAUGUUCACUUGGGUACAUAUAUACAACUACACCAACUUUUUUCUUAUUUUACCUUAAAAAUUUUAAGGUAUUAUAAUGGUAUGGCCAGUUUACUCACUGGUAAACUUUUCGUAACAGAAGGAUCAUGCCAGUGGAUACAAAUAUGUAACAUCAGUAAUUUGCUUUGCCUGUGAAACAGAGAACUGAAUAAAUUGAUGGGCAAACUAGUAUCUGAAUAUAAACCCCAAAUAUCAUGUGACUUCAUCAUUUUCAGUAUAAUGAAAAUACAGGCUGUGAAUGCUUCCAGUUGGUCCUGAGAGGGCCUCUGAGAUGAGUAGGUUCACCAAAGCGGCAACAUGUGUCCCAGUUCCCAGUGUACAUUCUACUCCUCAUUGAUGAUAUGGAAGAAGAGCACUCUUUGGCCUGUUGCGACUGGGACAGUUGACAGCACCCAGGUGUCCUGUAAUGAAAAUGCUCUUGACACCAAUGCAUCCUAGCAUCAGAGCUUCGGGAAGCCUUCUCAAGUGUGCAUGGGGAGUACCAUGUCUUUCAUCAAUAACGAAACCUUCUAAUGUCUUGUAAGACAUGCUGCCAAGAGAUGUGCCAUUCUAUUAUAAAAGAUCAGCAGCUUCCUUUACUGACAUGUAUAUUCUACACAGAACAUUGAGCUACGGAAGACUCCCGCCUAAGGGAAUUAGUUUUACACUUCCAGUGUUUCACUGUUUUGAGUUACUGAUGAACUUGCUGUAACUGUGAGACCAUGGUAAUGGAGGAGACCACGGUAAUGAAGGAGACCACGGUAAUGAAGGAGACCAUGGUAAUGGAGGAGACCACGGUAAUGGAGGAGACCACGGUAAUGGAGGAGACCAUGGUAAUGGAGAGGAGAAUGUGAGAAUCAAUAAAGACUGCUCAGAAGAGCAUCCUCUGGUGUUGCCAGAGAGGCAAGUGCUACCACACAGGCAUGCUGCAGUGAAUUUAACUCAUCCUGUGUCCCUGCAAUUGUUGUUUAAGGAUGCUAUUCUGAAAAGACUGUGGAGGAAGAAAACCCUUUACUCUGUUGUUCAGGGAGAAACUGACACCACUCAACUGCCUGGCACUGAAAAUGUGGCAUCCAGCCCACUUUACCGCCAGUGUUUAAGGAAACCAUCUCUGAUAAGGAUGAUUGAGGAAGACUACUCUUUGGCUUGUUGACACCAGCACAGCUGACACACCCAGAUAUCUGUUUGGUCUCCUGUGAACUUUCAACCAGGAUUUAAGGAUGCCAUUCUGGUUAAAAGCUCAAACAACUUCAAGGAAACUUCAGGGAAAAGAGAAGGCCUGGAGUCUGAUCCUCCACUUCAGAGAACAGGGGUGGUGGAGUCUAUGGCCCUUCUCUUUGAAUCUGAGUGAAAUUAGUGACUCUCUCAAUCCAAAGACUACAGUCGUACCUCAACUAUCUACAGAGGACUGGUUCCAGGACUCCCAUGGAUCCCAAAAUCCAAGAAUGCUUCGAAUCCCUUAUAUAAAAUGGCAUAGUAUUUGCAUAUAACCUACAUGCAUCUUCAAAUAUGUCAAACCAUCUCUAGAUUACUUAUAAUACCAAAUACAAUGUUAAUGCCAUGUAAACAGUUGUUACAAUGUAUUGCCAAAGACAAGCUCUCCUUGCCAAUCCCUGACCAAAUGAGAGAUUCAUGAGCAAAAUAAAUAGUUGCUGAUAUUUAAGGCACUAAGUUUGGGGCAAUGUAUUACACAGCAAUAAAUAACUGGA
Non-coding RNA from Chlorocebus sabaeus (green monkey), 6114 nucleotides. Lineage: Eukaryota; Metazoa; Chordata; Mammalia; Primates; Cercopithecidae. The record is from RefSeq and is a predicted model, not a curated record.